AUUGAGUGUUGUUGACAGUUGAUUAGCUGGAAGCAUUUGCUGAUUUGCUCUUUCUGUGUGUUUUUUUACCUCUUCUUCCAUUAAGUUUAACAGAGCAGAAGUUCAGCAACAAUCAAAUAUAGCUGGAAAACAAGUGUAAUGGCGGUAGAGCUUGUCAACUCUGCAACAAGUGACAAACUCACUGAAAUAGAUUGGACAAAAAAUAUUGAAAUAUGUGAAU
This 220-nucleotide unclassified non-coding RNA is filed under the name Hevea brasiliensis (rubber tree). The record is from RNAcentral. Lineage: Eukaryota; Viridiplantae; Streptophyta; Magnoliopsida; Malpighiales; Euphorbiaceae.